Molecule: ribosomal RNA, 500 nt
Filed under: uncultured bacterium
Lineage: Bacteria
Description: partial 16S ribosomal RNA
Rfam family: Bacterial small subunit ribosomal RNA
Source: RNAcentral
AUUGAACGCUGGCGGCAUGCUUUACACAUGCAAGUCGAACGGUAACAGGGUGCUUGCACCGCUGACGAGUGGCGAACGGGUGAGUAAUGCGUCGGAACGUGCCGAGUAGUGGGGGAUAACGCAGCGAAAGUUGUGCUAAUACCGCAUACGUACUGAGGUAGAAAGUGGGGGACCUUCGGGCCUCACGCUAUUCGAGCGGCCGACGUCUGAUUAGCUAGUAGGUGAGGUAAAGGCUCACCUAGGCGACGAUCAGUAGCGGGUCUGAGAGGAUGAUCCGCCACCCUGGGACUGAGACACGGCCCAGCCUCCUACGGGAGGCAGCAGUGGGGAAUUUUGGACAAUGGGCGAAAGCCUGAUCCAGCCAUGCCGCGUGUCUGAAGAAGGCCUUCGGGUUGUAAAGGACUUUUGUCAGGGAGGAAAUCCCUAGUGCUAAUAACACUGGGGGAUGACAGUACCUGAAGAAUAAGCACCGGCUAACUACGUGCCAGCAGCCGCCGUAA